GACGAACGCUGGCGGCGUGCUUAACACAUGCAAGUCGAACGGAAAGGCCCUGCUUUUGUGGGGUGCUCGAGUGGCGAACGGGUGAGUAACACGUGAGUAACCUGCCCUUGACUUUGGGAUAACUUCAGGAAACUGGGGCUAAUACCGGAUAGGAGCUCCUGCUGCAUGGUGGGGGUUGGAAAGUUUCGGCGGUUGGGGAUGGACUCGCGGCUUAUCAGCUUGUUGGUGGGGUAGUGGCUUACCAAGGCUUUGACGGGUAGCCGGCAUGAGAGGGUGACCGGCCACAUGGGGACUGAGAUACGGACCAGACUCCUACGGGAGGCAGCAGUGGGGAAUAUUGCACAAUGGGCGGAAGUCUGAGGCAGCAACGCCGCGUGCGGGAUGACGGCCUUCGGGUUGUAAACCGCUUUCGCCUGUGACGAAGCGUGAGUGACGGUAAUGGGUAAAGAAGCACCGGCUAACUACGUG
RNAcentral lists this ribosomal RNA (468 nucleotides) under uncultured bacterium. Its description in RNAcentral is "partial 16S ribosomal RNA". It matches the Rfam family "Bacterial small subunit ribosomal RNA", at positions 28 to 507 of the family's 1533-position model. The record is from RNAcentral.